Molecule: ribosomal RNA, 470 nt
Filed under: uncultured bacterium
Lineage: Bacteria
Description: bacterial SSU rRNA
Rfam family: Bacterial small subunit ribosomal RNA
Source: RNAcentral
UGGCCAGACUCCUACGGGAGGCAGCAGUGAGGAAUAUUGGUCAAUGGACGAGAGUCUGAACCAGCCAAGUAGCGUGAAGGAUGACUGCCCUAUGGGUUGUAAACUUCUUUUAUAAAGGAAUAAAACGAGGCACGUGUGCCUUUUUGCAUGUACUUUAUGAAUAAGGAUCGGCUAACUACGUGCCAGCAGCCGCGGUCAUACGUAGGAUCCGAGCAUUAUCCGGAGUGACUGGGUGUAAAGAGUUGCGUAGGUGGCAUAGUAAGUAGCUAGUGAAAUCUGGUGGCUCAACCAUUCAGACUAUUAGCUAAACUGCUAAGCUCGAGACCGUUAGGGGUAACUGGAAUUUCUAGUGUAGGAGUGAAAUCCGUAGAUAUUAGAAGGAACACCGAUAGCGUAGGCAGGUUACUGGGACGGUUCUGACACUAAGGCACGAAAGCGUAGGGAGCAAACGGGAUUAGAUACCCCCGUAC